CAAAAGAAAUUUGUGGCAGGUGACAAUACACGCAAUGAUAAAUGAUAAAAAGUGCAAAGUAGGUUAGUCUACUUCCUGUCAUUUAAAUCAUUUAUGUGAGACAGGUAUUACUGGUCGUUUUUGAAGUAAAUAAUAGAUAAAUCCACCAAGCUUCCUCGUGCUGGAUAUAACCUAAUUCUUCAAGAAUCACGAUGUAACCAUAACGCUAUCAAGUGCCAAGAUGACAGCCUCUUGUACUAAUUGCUAUUAGCUGAUGCUAAUUCUGUAGAGAACACGUAAUUCCUAACCGAAAUGGAUUUCAUUCUUAUAGGUUUUAACAUCUUUAACAAAGCAGGUACUAUCCUUAAUAGCUUGUACAUUAUGAAUGUGCAGUCACAGAAAAGACCCGAAAUAUCUAUUCCAAGAGGGACAAGCAAAUUACAAGGAACAAUAAGUCAUCCAACCUUCGCAUAUAAAAAUAAGGAGAUGUGGUAUGAAACCAAAGAUAUAAUUAUUCAACAUAGGCCAAAUGACGAAGAUAUUUACAAUAUUCGGGGAACCUUCCGUACUUCAACAAUGAGUAAAACCGUAUAGUAAGCUUUAACAGGUACUGGCAUGCGAAAAUGUGAAUCAAUUUCUAGAGAGAAAACUAACAGUCUGGUUUUGGUUUUUGACCCGGAUUUGUUUCAGCUAAAUCGAUUUAUGACUAUUGAACAGCGGUACACUACUGUUGCAUUUAUUUAUGCUUAAAACAACAAACACAAAACAGCGACCAAUGGCAAUCCAUGACUUGGGACCGGUACAAAAAGAAUGAAGCUAGGUAAAAAUGUGUGUCAGCACUCAACUCUAUCUUAACUUUGGAGACAUAAUAUACCGAUCUUAGAGUCCUCAAAGUUCUGAAAGCUAGUUUAAUGAUUUGAUUUUUGGUGUUUUUACGCCACUUUUAAGCACCACUUUUGGGCUAUUUCGUGGCGGUCAGCUUUUAUUGGUGGAGGAAGCCGGAGUGCCCGGAGAAAACCACCGACCUUCGAUAGGAAAACUGACAAUCCUAGUCAAUUAAGAUUGGAGUCGAGUGCACCCGCACGAGCGGGGUUCGAACUCACAACCUCAGUGUUGACUGGCUAGUGAUUACAGUAGUAACUACUUAGACAACUCGGCCACCGAGGCCCCUUGCUAGUUUCAAGUCAAUUCAAUCUAAUAAAUAAACCUGUAUGUAUAAUAACAUUUCAGUCAGAUACAUAUGUAAUGCAUUUAGAGUAAAUACGUUAUAAACAGUUUGAAGAAAGCAUAGCUACAUACACAUUCCAGAAUGUAAGUAAUGUAAGGAUGUUUAAAUUAAUUGUAAUUUUUAAUCGUUUUAUUACGACAAACGUGUGCUUGCUAUAAGAAAAUCUACAGCCUUUAGAUAUGUAAAGCCAUAUAGAUAUUUGUAAUUUUGCACUGACUUUAUUUUUAUCAAAUAUCCAGUUGUGUCUUUAAGUAGCUGUUUCUCCGUAAAAAAAACUUCAAAGUAUAGCCAACUCUGAACAAGGAAGUAGCGAUUUGCAUCAGGGAUAUAUAUUCUUUUAUCUUAAAUGAUGGCUAAAUUUCAAUCAAGUAACUUCCGUAUUUUAUGCCAGUACCGAGGCUGGUGCUGCACUCGAGGAAUAACAGAGCACAAGCAGAGGCUUCGAACCAGUGGUAGUAAUAUGAUACACGGUACAAUAUUUACUACACAAGAUGACCUAUUAAAUCUGUCAUAUCUCAACAAUAUUUUAUAAAUUCACUUUUCAUUUUUUUAUUUGGUUAAGGUCCUUAGUUGGAAUAUUACAUUUUUAUAUCAUAAAAAAGUAUAUUUUCAGUGCAAUCGAUUAACCAUAGUUGGUAAAGAUCUAAAACAAUUUGUUUACGAAAAAAAAAUACUGAAAAAAAAAUGAAGUAACAAAAUGAUCGAUCUUUAAGGCAAAUUUAAAAAACAGCGGAAGUCCAUAAAAAUUAACAAAACUAAACACUCGACUUUAUUUAAUCUGUCUUAUUCCUGUCUUGGUACAGACAUUUUCCGAAAAAAUGGUGGGUUAAACCUCGUUUUGCAGCUAGCUUACUUAAUCUCCAACUUGUAUGACAAGUGGCUAUUGUUCCGUUAUAUUGACAAAAGUAGCCUUAACAACCCAACCAAACAUAAUUAGCUAAGGUGACAAUAAUUGGGAUUCAGUAGCCGAAAUUGUGUAAACAUACAUCAUAGAUAUAUAACAUUACUAAAUUAAAUAAUAAAAAACAAACAAAAACAAUAAUCAAGAACUGUGUAUAAAUCUAAAAAAGACGCUAACAAAAACAUGAAAAACAUUUUGGAUUUUUAAAUAUUUUGUUAUUUGUCAGUACUUUUAGAACUGGUGAUUUAAGAGGGGAAGGUUCUCCUAUUGACAGAUUCCAAAAUUUCCUGUUAAUUUAUAAUGAACAAGGCAAAACUAUUCAACUACUUUUUUUUACAAUAAUAUACAGGAGCAACCUUUUUUUGCUCAAUGUUGUAUUUAUUUUUGUCAUUUAUUUAUUUUGAAAACAUUUGUUUUUCACUUUUCAAUAGAAACAAGUUGAUUUUUACCAAUAAGUUUAAAAUCAAACAAUUCUUCGAAAAAAAAACCAAACUAUGUUAUACAUGUUAUAAAAAGUUUUAAAGUAAAGAUUUAUUUUUUACAUACACUAUAUAAUUAUGUACACAUGUACAUGAUACAUUAACGGAACAUGUGUUUUGAGGCUUGCUAAUAUGAAAUAAGAAUAGGUAAUACACAGGAUUUUAAUACUGAUUAAGUUAUUAACAGAGUUUACAUUAUAAGCAAUAAAUAAAUGUACACAAUAACAUAGCAAUGAUACAGGCUUAUAAUGUGGUAUCAUAGACGUGCUUUUCGUCUCUAUAAGACUCAUCAGUGAUGCUAUAAUCAAAACGGUACUAAGGUCAAAUCGAAUGCGAAGUUGAAAAGAAUUAAAAACCAAAACUUCCGAAAAGUGUGCCAAAUAAGGCUAAGUCUAUUUAUGCGUGGGGGUAGAUAAACCUUGGAGUUUCGAAAACAAUUAAUUGCAUUGAAGAAGAGAAAAAAAGACAUCUGACAUAUUGAUUCAUAAAACUAUAAAAGUUUAAAAAUGGGAAAGCAUUAUGUAAUCAGAUAAUAAGUUAAGGCUAAAAAGAAAGGAGAUUAGGGUUAUUUACUGCUUACGAUUUACAAAAAGCAAAUUCACAUUUUUCAGAUUACUUUAUGUUCAUAUAUGUAUUGUUAUGUAACGACAUAUAUAACAACAUGGAAAUUAAUAUCCAAUAUUUGAAUUCAAAUAAAAAAUAGACAAAACAAUUUGCCAUAUUUGUUAGAUAACAUGCUAAAUGGGAUUUGCUAAUUGGUACUGCCAUAUUAAAAUGAGCUUCUGAUUUUUCCAAUUGAUAAGGGACUUUCCGUUUUGAAUAUUCCUUGGAGUUGGGUAUUUUUGUUAUUUUUCUUUUUUUUAAGAAUGAAUAUCUCUGCAGAGUGUUUUUACAUUUUUGACUACAGAAUACGUUCAGACAGUUUAGAUUCUACAUAUCCAGACUUUUUCAGUCAGAGUCGUUUAGAAUGUGUCCAGGCAAUAUUUAACUGCUUAAAGACUGUUAAGAAUGUGUUGAGAAAAAUAAAGUCAAUGGUAAAAUGUACCAAGUCAGGAAUUUCCCAGAAAUGAUUAAACAUAUUGAAUAAAUCCGAACACCAAUUGGUUCAUGCGACUGUCAUUCAAGUGAGAGGUUUAGCUAGCUAUAAAACCAGUUUAACCCAUUAUUUUCUACAUAAGGAAAUGCCUGUACUAAGUCAGGAAUAUGACAGUUGUUUUCCAUUCGUUUGAUGUGUUUGAGCUUUUGAUUUUGCCAUUUGUUAAGGAACUUUCCGUUUUGAAUUUUCCUUGGAGUUCAGUAUUUUUUUUUAUCUGACUUUUCAGUUAAAUGACAGAUCAGAUUCCUUUCCUUGUAUCUUAAGAUGUAAGACCGCAAAAGCAUGUCGACGGGGAGUUAAGACACCGACACAUCAUAUCGGUCAUCUAAUUUGCGAUGGUGACUGUAAAACUUAUGUAGUCUCGAUUUCAGUCGUUCUUCCUCAUACCUCUGAAGUAUUUUCAAAAGGCCGUCAGGAUAUGUUUCAGACAAGAAACACUUCAAUUUGGGCAAAUAUAGCUGCAAUAGAGAAUAAGAACAGCAAAUCACAGCUGGGUCAAUAUCCCUAAUGCGCUUCAAAUUGAGGAACUCAAAAGUAGUGCGUUAACAAAAAUAUCUGUGCUGUAAUAUUGGACAUGUUUCAAUUUUUUAAUAAGUGACUGAACUUAACCAUUCAGUUAACCAUUUUACUCAUUUGGAGAGCAGAGGAACAUGGAAUAAAGGUUUAUAAACUAUGGAGUUAUUAAAUUAUGAAAAGAAGUAAAUUUGCAAAGAACGUAUUGUGUGAAAAAGGGGAUUUCUAUCUCGAGAAGCCGCAUCGCAAAAGGCUUUUUGGGGUGUGCUAAAUUAUGGAAAACAAAUCGCACUUUGUAACCCGAAAAUUUAACCACAUAUGUGCGAAUAUCUCAGCUUUGAAACAAUCCAUCACAUAUAUCCAAGUUUACGAUAUGGGCAGAUAAAUGGAGGAAAUGGCUACCUCUACCGCCUACCUGAAAUGAAUUGCUCAUCUUUACCCAGCUACGAUGAGUAUCUUAAAAUGUACCCGCUAUGUUAGUUAAAGAUAACAAAUUUAGAUAAAGUGUUGGUUAGAAAUAAAUAUAGCACCAUGCAUUAAGAAAACGCCGUACUUUCAAUUAAGAACGAGAAGCAAUUUUUUUUUUUAGUUUGAAUUUUACUAAAACAUCCAAUAAAACGUAAAAAUCAAAGUAAUGAUUAAUUCAACAUUAGUUGUUGAUUAAACAUUUGAUGGAAGUCUUCGAAAUUGGCUUAUCUAAUUGAAAUUGUCCAGCGUUUCAAACAAAUAAGCGCCAGCAAAUAAUUUAACUUGAAUUUUUAGACAAUACCAAUAGUCAAUUAUUUGAGUAAAUAUAGCUGAUACGUAAGUUAUGGAUAGUAUUUGUUGAAAAACAAAAUGAAAAUGAAAAUAAAGUUCACUGGAUGUAUGUGAGGAACAAUUUAAAUCAUGUACAUGUCAGAGCAAGUUCAAUUGUAGAUCAGUUUUUGGUUUGAAAUAUGAGGAAUGUCUUGUAAAACACCGUACUUUCAAUUUAGAAUGACAAGUAAUUUUUGUGUGUGUUUGAAUUUCCAAAAAAAAGUCAAAUAAAACGUAAAAACGUUAGAGUAAUGAUUUAUUCAACAUCAGUUGCUGAUUUAAAAUUCGAUGGAAAUCUACGAAAUUGUCUUAUCUAACUGAAAAUAGUUCAGCGUUUUUUUUUUAUUAACAGGUGUUUCCAAAAAACCACUCGAAAAUAAUUAAACUUGAAUUUUCAGACAAUAUCAAUAGUCAAUUGAUUGAGCAAAUAUAGCUGCUAUGUAAGUUAAAUAUCUUGAUGAAAAUGAACACAAAGUUAACUGACUGAAUAACACUAAACAUCCUAAAGCAAUGUGCAACUAAAGUUUUGAACAAAAAUCGUUUAAAAUAAAUUUUUGUUGUAAUAACAAUUUUAUUUUAUAACAUUUUAUAUUAAUUAGUAUAGUAAUUUUCAUUGUUAUUAAUAAAUGUUAUAUGAGUAUUAUAAACCAAAUCUUGAAUUCUAUCCUAAUUUUAUCCUAUUUUGGGGAAAUUUCAGAAAUUCAAAUGUGACUUCACUUUUUUUGCGCUGAUCUCUUUGGCUAACUCGGCUGUGAAUUUUUAUGUGCUGGUUUAUGUUGUUUUAUGUAUCCGUUUUUAUUCUGUAGUUAGUCACCACUUCGGUCUUAUCAUGUAUAUCUAUUAUAUAGUCAUUUUUAUAAAUUUACUGUUUGCAAAAGUAUGAAUUAUUCUAAAUACUAAGGAUUUACUUAUCCCAGACAUAUAACCUUAGCCGUGUUUGGCGCAACUUUUUGGAACUUUUGGUCCUCAAUGCUCUUCAACUUUGUACUUGUUUUGGCUUUCGAACUUUUUUGAUCUGAGCGUCACUGGUUAGUCUUGUGUGGACGAAACGCGCGUCUUGCGUAUUAAAUUUUAAACCUGGUACCUUUUGUUAGCUAUUAUUCGUAUGUUUCUCAGUCCUAUAUGUUGUCCCAUUUAUUUGUAUUGUAGUCCUGUCAUGUAAUGUUAUCAUUUUAAUGUAAUAUUUAACAUUGCCAUAAAAGCGGUAGGUUUGGCUAGUCACAAAACCAGGUUCAACCCACCAUUUUUUUCUUAAAAUGUCCUGUACCAAGUCACGAAAAUGACCAUUGUUAUAUUAUAGUUCGUUUCUGUGUGUGUUACAUUUUAAUGUUGUGUUUCUGUUGUGUCGUAGUUCUCCUCUUAUAUUUGAUGUGUUUCCCUCAGUUUUAGUUUGUAACCCGGAUCUGUUUUUUUCUCAAUCGAUUUAUGAAUUUCGAACAGCGGUAUACUACCGUUGCCUUUAUUUAUGCAUCUAUAUCUAAGAGAGCAAAUCACAGCUACGGUGAGUAAUUCAAAUGUACUGUCUUUGUUAUUUAAAGAGAAUAAAUUAAAAUAAAUAGUUGAUGAAAUUGAAUUAAACUAGCGUGCAUUUAGAAAACACAUACUUCCAAUUAAGAACAACAUGUAUUUUUUUUUGUGUUUAAAUUUUACUAAAAAAAAUUAAAAAAAUACGUAAAAAAUUAAGGUAAUGAUUAAUUCACCAUCAGUUGUUGAUUUUAAAUUUUGAAUUAGCCUUUGCCAUUGUUGUAUUUAAUUGAAAAUUGUUCAGCGUUUUUAACUAAUAGGUGUUUCCAAGAGACCGCCAGAAAGAAAUAAACCUGAAUUUACAGACAGUAGCAAUAGUCAAUUAUUUGAGCAAAUAUAGCUACUAUGUAAGUUAUGAAUAACAUUUGUUGAAAAACAUAAUAAAAUUAAGUUAACUGAAAGUACCUGAAAAACAAAUAACAUAAUAUAGCAAAGUUAAAUUGUUUUUGGUUUGAAAUAUUAGGAAUGUUUCAGAAAUUGUCGAAAUAUUGAUCAAAUCUGAACGCAAAUUAGUUUAACGCUAAUACAACCGGUAUUUCAUGUUGACCAUCGAAAAAAAUGUUUACAAGAAGUUUCAAACCAUUUAUUGUUCAACUAUUUGAGCAUAAAAAACGGCAUUGUGAGUUGCGUAUUUACAUGUUUGAAACGGCUGAAGACAAUCUUCUUGCAUAUCGAGAAUUUCUGUCAUAUAUAGUGUUUUCUUUUGCCGUUUUCAUUAAUUUAUCUUUAAAACAAAAGAAAAAGAAAAAAACGGAAAAUUACAAUUAUGGUGUUUAUCUCAACACGCAUUGUCUGUGUUAUCUAAAGAUACUUAAUUCAGAUAAAACUUUGGAUACAAGAAUACAUAAUAGCCUGUAAAAAAGCACCGUUAUCGCAAUUUAAACUAUAAAUCAUUGUUAAUCUUUUGAGUCUUGUUUUCUCAAAAAAAAAAAAAAAAAAAAAAAAAAUCAACCUCGACCUUUUUAAUUUUAACGGAAAUUAUUAAACGUUUUUGGCUGGGGAUAUAUAGCUCUAUCGUCAAGAUUAAAUUUGCUUAAAAUAGAUGAAAAUGAAAACAAGGUUAACUGCCUGAAUAACUCUAAACAUUCUAAAACAAUGUUUGACCUACGUUUUGAAACAAAAAUCGUUUAAGGUGGGUUUUUUUUUCUGAUAAUGUUUUUAUGCAUUUAUAUUUUAGAGAGAAUAAAAACAGGAAAUCACAGCUGGGUCAAUAUCCCUAAUACGCCUCAAAUUGAGGAACUUAAAAGUUGUCCGUUAACAAAAAGAAUAUGUGCGGUGAUAUUGGACAUGUUUCAAUUUUUAACAAGUGACUGAGCUGAUGCUGACUUAGAGAGCAGAGGACCAUGAAAAAGUUGUCAAAACUAUAGAGUUAUUUAAUGUAUACAAAGAACUAAAUGUUUUAAAGAACUGAUUGUAUGAAAAAAAGCGAUUUCUUUACCUCGAGAAGCCGCAUCACAAAAGGCUUUUCAGUGUCUGCUAAAUUAUUGAAAAAGUAAUUCACUUCGUACCUUGAAAAUUUAACCGCAUAUGUGAAAAUGUCCAAGCUUCGAAACAAGCCAUCAAACAUAUCUAAGUUUACGAUAUGGGCAGAGAAAUAGAGAAAAAAAGGCUACCGUUACUGACUACCUGAAAUGAAUUGCGCACCUGUACCCAAUUUGUGGACUUUAUUUUAGAAGUUGUCAGACUGAUUAAAUAUUGAUUGCGUCACCAGAGCAAAUUAUAAAAAUGAAGGUUUGUUGUCUUUUAUGAAUACCUAGGUAUCACAGUUUUUGAUAAAACAUUAUUUAUAAAGAUGAGCAACAAUUUUGCUUUAGAAAUGUAUUCCUGGCACGGAACUGGAACACUUCUUUUAGACACAAUCAAAAUCGGUGUUUACAUGAGACGAUGAAAUGCACAUGUCAUUGACUUAAAGAAGGGACUAACUUUUUAUGGAAACAUUUAAUAUUGUUAAAUUGCAAGUCAACAUGACACAACAAAAGACAAUUUAUGCCAUUAUCAUUAAAAUUGACAUGAAUAGCUGAUAGUGCAAGGGAAAUAACACACUUCAUACGAGUAUUUGAUACAUGUGUUGUACACCAAUAAUUUGACCAUUUAUUAGCAGCUGGUCACUAACACAAUCAAAUAAACAGAUAAAAUGAAAAAAAAUGCAUAAUACUUUGAAGAAUUUAUUUUUUUUUCUCUCAUUUAUAUAGUUUGUAUUCAAUAAAUGAAAUGAUAUAACAAACUGAUCAAUGUUUUGUCUUAUUUCAGUUACUGACGUAUCAUUCCAGUUUAUCAUGAGACGGCAAUUAGAGGUUUUAAAAAGUUCUGAAUUACUGUUAAACAUUGCAUUUUUAUCUAGCAAGCUCUUAAUUGUAUAUUUAUGGUAUUUAUGCAACUAGAAUUGAAGUCAGUAUGUUGAAAAUAUCCUGAUUUGAAAACUGUUGCUAUGAUCUGGACAUUAGAUAAAAAUGCUUAAUUACUGAUCUUUUCGUCUCGACAUCUUAAGCUAAACCCUUGGGCAACUGUUUGUUAUGUAGCACUGCAAACUGUUGUUAGCAUAUUUCUAAUUAGUCGUUAUUUAAUGCAAUCAAAAUACGUGUGAUGCCAUAAUGAUUACUGAAAAAACCAAAUCUGCAUUUCUCACUAAUAAAGGGUUUUCACUGAAAUACAUCUAAAAAAAUAUAUAUUUUAAGUAGUAUAAUGUGACAAUUUUUAGAAAUUUGCUCUUUAUUGCGCUUUCAAUUAUAUGAUAACAAUGAUGUUCACAGCAGAUAAGAGUGGUUAUUAACGUUGAAAUACCAGAUUUCUAGUGGUAACAAUUUUAAAGUAUUUUUUAGGGUUUUUGGAAAAAAUCUACAUUUUUGCAUCACUUCUCAAUUUAAAUGCACUUUUAGACACCAGAAAUAUUUAUUAAAUGCUUAUAACAAGGUAUAUGUAUUGUGAUUGAAGGUUAUCAUCAAAUAUUUCAUCUAUAUUGUGACCUAUUAAGGAAUACUGGAAGAAAUCAAGUAUACUUACACAUUGUAUUCAGAAUGAUUAAAUAUAGCGAUAUUAGGGUAAAUGCAUUCUAGUGCUGAAACAACCUUAUUUUCUUUCAGAAAUGAACAAAAACACACAGAUUUCUUCAGAAAGCUAUACAGAAAAAGAUCAUACAAAAUACUUUAAAAAAUCAGAACUAUUGAUUUCAACAUGGUUCAAUAUCCCAAAUGCGCCUCAAAUUUAGGAACUCAAAGGUAGUGCGUUAACAAAACGUAUAGUGCAUAUAAAUUGGAAAUGUUUCAAUUUUCAACAAGUGACUGAGCUAACCCAUUUGUCCUGAUGUAGAGAGCAGAGGACCAUAGAAUAAAGGUGUAAAAACCAUGGAGUUAUUAAAUGUGUGCAAAGAACUAAAUUCUCAAAGAACUUAUUCUGUAAAAAAAAGGAUUUUUUUACCUCGAGAAGCCACAUCACAAAAGGCAUUUCGGGCAGUGCUCAAUUAUGGAAAAACGAAUCUCACUUCGUAUCCCGAAAAUUUAACCACAUAUGUGCAAAUGUCUCAUCUUCGAAACGAGCCAUCGUAUUUAUACAAGUUUACGAUAUGGGCAGAGGAAUGGAGGAAAAGGCUACCUCUACCGCCUACUUGAAAUGAAUUGCUAAUCGUUACGCAGCUAAGACUAAAGUAUCAAGCAGUACAAUGUUUGAUUGAGACGUACCUACAUUGCGUGUGUUCAGUGGAUAUAUUGAUGAUGUUCUUUCCAUAAACAAUCCAAACUUUUCUGAUUGGGUUCAAUUAAUAUAUUCUCCAGAACUAGACAUUAAAGAAACAAUAAUAGACACGGCUUCCUCUGCCUCAUUUUUAGACUUAUACCUCGAAUUUGACAUAAGCAGUCAUCUCAGUACCAGAACCAAUAACAAACGAAAUGAUUAGAAUUUUGAAAUUAUAAAUUUCCACCACCUUAGCAGCAAUAUAUAAACUUCACCUUCAUAUGGGAUAUACAUUUCCCAAGUCAUUCUGUAUUCAAGAGCUUGCAGCUGCUACUCAGACUUCAGACUCAAACGUCACCAGUGUCUGAGCAGAAAGUUGAUGAACCUUGGUUAUGUCAAAAAACGUCUCGUCCUUUUUCUAAAGAGGUUCAUCGAAAGGUACCAAGACCUUGAUGACAAAUAUUCCGUAUCAACUUCACAAAUAAUACACGAAGCAUAGAUUCUAGAGAGAAUAAAAACAGCACAUCACAGAUGGGUCAGUAUCCCAAAUGCUCCUCAAAUUGAGGAACGCGAAAGUAGUCCGUUAACCAAAAGUAUAUGUGCGGUGAUAUUAGACGUGUUUUAAUUUUAACAAGUAACUGAGCUUAACCAAUUGUGCUGAUGUAGAGAACAGACGAAAAUGCAAUAAAGGUGUCAAAACUAUGGAGUUAUUUAAUGUAUGCAAAGAAGUACAUUUUCAAAAGAACUUAUUGUUUGAAAAAAAGGAUCUUUUUUACCUCGAUAAGCCGAAUCACAAAAGGCAUUUCGGGCAGUGCUAAAUUAUAAAAAAAUGAUUUUCACUUCGUACCCCGAAAAUUUAACCACAUAUGUGCAUAUGUCUCAACUUCGAAACGAGCCAUCAUACAUAUUCAGGUUUAUGAUAUUGGCAAAGAAAUUGAAGUAAAGGUUACCUCUACCGCUUACCUAAAAUGAAUAGCUCAUCUUUACCCAGCUGCGACAGAAUAAAAACAGCACAAGACAGCUGGGUCAAUAUCCCUAAUGCGCCUCAAAUUGAGGAACUCGAAAGUAGUCCGUUAACAAAAAGUAUAUGUGCGGUGAUAUUAGACGUGUUUUAAUUUUAACAAGUAACUGAGCUUAACCAAUUGUGCUGAUGUAGAGAACAGACGAAAAUGCAAUAAAGGUGUCAAAACUAUGGAGUUAUUUAAUAUGUGCAAAGAAGUACAUUUUCAAAAGAACUUAUUGUUUGAAAAAAAGGAUCUUUUUUACCUCGAUAAGCCGAAUCACAAAAGGCAUUUCGGGCAGUGCUAAAUUAUAAAAAAAUGAUUUUCACUUCGUACCCCGAAAAUUUAACCACAUAUGUGCAUAUGUCUCAAUUUCAAAACGAGCCAUCAUACAUAUUCAAGUUUAUGAUAUUGGCAAAGAAAUUGAAGUAAAGGUUACCUCUACCGCUUACCUAAAAUGAAUAGCUCAUCUUUACACAGCUGCGACAGAAUAAAAACAGCACAAGACAGCUGGGUCAAUAUCCCUAUUGCGCAUCAAAUUGAGGAACUCGAAAGUAUUCCGUUAACAAAAAGUAUAUGUGCGGUGAUAUUAGACGUGUUUUAAUUUUAACAAGUAACUGAGCUUAACCAAUUGUGCUGAUGUAGAGAACAGACGAAAAUGCAAUAAAGGUGUCAAAACUAUGGAGUUAUUUAAUGUAUGCAAAGAAGUACACUUUCAAAAGAACUUAUUGUUUGAAAAAAAAGGAUCUUUUUUACCUCGAUAAGCCGAAUCACAAAAGGCAUUUCGGGCAGUGCUAAAUUUUAAAAAAUGAUUUUCACUUCGUAACCCGAAAAUUUAACCACAUAUGUGCAUAUGUCUCAACUUCGAAACGAGCCAUCAUAUAUAUUCAAGUUUAUGAUAUUGGCAAAGAAAUUGAAGCAAAGGUUACCUCUACCGCUUACCUAAAAUGAAUUGCUCAUCUUUACCCAGCUGCGACAGAAUAAAAACAGCACAAGACAGCUGGGUCAAUAUCCCUAAUGCGCCUCAAAUUGAGGAACUCGAAAGUAGUCCGUUAACAAAAAGUAUAUGUGCGGUGAUAUUAGACGUGUUUUAAUUUUAACAAGUAACUGAGCUUAACCAAUUGUGCUGAUGUAGAGAACAGACGAAAAUGCAAUAAAGGUGUCAAAACUAUGGAGUUAUUUAAUGUAUGCAAAGAAGUACAUUUUCAAAAGAACUUAUUGUUUGAAAAAAAGGAUCUUUUUUACCUCGAUAAGCCGAAUCACAAAAGGCAUUUCGGGCAGUGCUAAAUUAUAAAUCAAUGAUUUUCACUUCGUACCCCGAAAAUUUAACCACAUAUGUGCAUAUGUCUCAAUUUCGAAACGAGCCAUCAUACAUAUUCAAGAUUAUGAUAUUGGCAAAGAAAUUGAAGUAAAGGUUACCUCUACCGCUUACCUAAAAUGAAUUGCUCAUCUUUACACAGCUGCGACAGAAUAAAAACAGCAUAAGACAGCUGGGUCAAUAUCCCUAAUGCGCCUCAAAUUGAGGAACUCGAAAUUAGUCCGUUAACAAAAAGUAUAUGUGCGGUGAUAUUAGACGUGUUUUAAUUUUAACAAGUAACUGAGCUUAACCAAUUGUGCUGAUGUAGAGAACAGACGAAAAUGCAAUAAAGGUGUCAAAACUAUGGAGUUAUUUAAUGUAUGCAAAGAAGUACAUUUUCAAAAGAACUUAUUGUAUGAAAAAAAGGAUCUUUUUUACCUCGAUAAGCCGAAUCACAAAAGGCAUUUCGGGCAGUGCUAAAUUAUAAAAAAAUGAUUUUCACUUCGUACCCCGAAAAUUUAACCACAUAUGUGCAUAUGUCUCAAUUUCGAAACGAGCCAUCAUACAUAUUCAAGAUUAUGAUAUUGGCAAAGAAAUUGAAGUAAAGGUUACCUCUACCGCCUACCUAAAAUGAAUAGCCCAUCUUUACCCAGCUGCGACAGAAUAAAAACAGCACAAGACAGCUGGGUCAAUAUCCCUAAUGCGCCUCAAAUUGAUGAACUCGAAAGUUGUCCGUUAACAAAAAGUAUAUGUGCGGUGAUAUUAGACGUGUUUUAAUUUUAACAAGUAACUGAGCUUAACCAAUUGUGCUGAUGUAGAGAACAGACGAAAAUGCAAUAAAGGUGUCAAAACUAUGGAGUUAUUUAAUAUGUGCAAAGAAGUACAUUUUCAAAAGAACUUAUUGUUUGAAAAAAAGGAUCUUUUUUACCUCGAUAAGCCGAAUCACAAAAGGCAUUUCGGGCAGUGCUAAAUUAUAAAAAAAUGAUUUUCACUUCGUACCCCGAAAAUUUAACCACAUAUGUGCAUAUGUCUCAAUUUCGAAACGAGCCAUCAUACAUAUUCAAGUUUAUGAUAUUGGCAAAGAAAUUGAAGUAAAGGUUACCUCUACCGCUUACCUAAAAUGAAUUGCUCAUCUUUACACAGCUGCGACAGAAUAAAAACAGCACACGACAGCUGGGUCAAUAUCCCUAAUGCGCCUCAAAUUGAGGAACUCGAAAGUAGUCCGUUAACAAAAAGUAUAUGUGCGGUGAUAUUAGACGUGUUUUAAUUUAACAAGUAACUGAGCUUAACCAAUUGUGCUGAUGUAGAGAACAGACGAAAAUGCAAUAAAGGUGUCAAAACUAUGGAGUUAUUUAAUGUAUGCAAAGAAGUACAUUUUCAAAAGAACUUAUUGUUUGAAAAAAAAGGAUCUUUUUUACCUCGAUAAGCCGAAUCACAAAAGGCAUUUCGGGCAGUGCUAAAUUAUAAAAAAAUGAUUUUCACUUCGUACCCCGAAAAUUUAACCACAUAUGUGCAUAUGUCUCAACUUCGAAACGAGCCAUCAUACAUAUUCAGGUUUAUGAUAUUGGCAAAGAAAUUGAAGUAAAGGUUACCUCUACCGCUUACCUAAAAUGAAUAGCUCAUCUUUACCCAGCUGCGACAAAAUAAAAACAGCAUAAGACAGCUGGGUCAAUAUCCCUAAUGCGCCUCAAAUUGAGGAACUCGAAAGUAGUCCGUUAACAAAAAAGUAUAUGUGCGGUGAUAUUAGACGUGUUUUAAUUUUAACAAGUAACUGAGCUUAACCAAUUGUGCUGAUGUAGAGAACAGACGAAAAUGCAAUAAAGGUGUCAAAACUAUGGAGUUAUUUAAUGUAUGCAAAGAAGUACAUUUUCAAAAGAACUUAUUGUUUGAAAAAAAAGGAUCUUUUUUACCUCGAUAAGCCGAAACACAAAAGGCAUUUCGGGCAGUGCUAAAUUAUAAAAAAAUGAUUUUCACUUCGUACCCCGAAAAUUUAACCACAUAUGUGCAUAUGUCUCAACUUCGAAACGAGCCAUCAUACAUAUUCAGGUUUAUGAUAUUGGCAAAGAAAUUGAAGUAAAGGUUACCUCUACCGCUUACCUAAAAUGAAUAGCUCAUCUUUACCCAGCUGCGACAAAAUAAAAACAGCACAAGACAGGUAGGUCAAUAUCCCUAUUGCGCCUCAAAUUGAGGAACUCGAAAGUAUUCCGUUAACAAAAAGUAUAUGUACGGUGAUAUUAGACGUGUUUUAAUUUUAACAAGUAACUGAGCUUAACCAAUUGUGCUGAUGUAGAGAACAGACGAAAAUGCAAUAAAGGCGUCAAAACUAUGGAGUUAUUUAAUGUAUGCAAAGAAGUACACUUUCAAAAGAACUUAUUGUUUGAAAGAAAGGAUUUUUUUUACCUCGAUAAGCCGAAUCACAAAAGUCAUUUCGGGCAGUGCUAAAUUAUAAAAAAUGAUUUUCACUUCGUACCCCGAAAAUUUAACCACAUAUGUGCAUAUGUCUCAACUUCGAAACGAGCCAUCAUACAUAUUCAAGUUUAUGAUAUUGGAAAAGAAAUUGAAGCAAAGGUUACCUCUACCGUUUACCUAAAAUGAAUAGCUCAACUUUACCCAGCUGCGACAGAAUAAAAACAGCACAUGACAGCUUGGUCAACAUCUCUAAUGCGCCUCAAAUUGAGGAACUCGAAAAUAGUCCGUUAACAAAAAGUAUAUAUGUGGUGAUUUAAGACAUGUUUUAAUUUUAACAAGUGACUGAACUUAACCAGUUGUGCUGAUUCAGAGAGCAGAGGAACAUAAAAUAGUGGUGUAAAAAAUAUAGAGUCUUUAAUGUAUGCAAAGAACUAGAUUUUUAAAAGAAUUUAUUGUUUGAAAAAAGGGAUCUUUUUACUUCGAGAAGCCGCAUCACAACAGGCAUUUCGGGCAGUGCUAAAUUAUGAAAAAUGAUUCUCACUUUGUACCUCGAAAAUUUAACCACAAAUGUGCAAAUGUCUCAGCUUCCAAAUCGACCCAUCAAACAAAUCCAAGUUGAUGAUAAUGGCAAAGAAAUUGAAACAAAAGUUACCUCUACCGCUUACCUAAAAUGAAUAGCUCAUCGUUACCCAGCUGCGAGAGAAUAAAAACAGCACAUCACAGAUGGGUCAAUAUCCCAAAUGCGCCUUAAAUUAAGGAACUCAAAAGUUGUACAUUAACAAAAAGUAUAUGUCCGGUGAUAUUAGACGUGUUUUAAUUUUAGCAAGUGAAUGAGUUCAACAUGCACUUGUAAAAGUAUUUAAUAUGCUGUAUAUAAUUAUAUCAGAAUUCAAAUGAAGCAGACAUAUUUGUGCUGAUUUAGAGAGCAAAGGAUCAUGACAUAAAGGUGUAAAAACUAUGGAGGUAUUUAAUGUAUGCAAAGAACUGCAUUUUUAAAAGAACUUAUUGUUUGAAAAAAAAGGAUGUUUUUACCUCGAGAAGCCGCAUCAGAAAAGGCAUUUCAGGCAGUGCUAAAUUAUGGAAAAAUAAUUGUCACUUCGUACCCCUCAAAUUUAACCACAUAUGUGCAAAUUUCUCAGCUUCGAAACGAGCCAUCAUACAUAUCCAAGUUCAGGAUAUGGGCAAAGGAAUGGAGGAAAAGGGUACCUCUACCGCUUACCUGAAAUGAAUUGCUAAUCUUUACCCAGCUGCGGUGAGUAUCUCAAAAUUUUAGUGCUACAUUUUAAUGCACUGCAACAAAUCAUAGUGUCUUUUCUCAGAGAAAUGGAACAAACAAUGUCAAAAUGUUCAGGUUUUAAUGAAAUCUUUGUUUGGGUAAUUUGAUGCAAGCAUACAAUCUAUAGUGUGUCUUAUACUGUUAGAAGCAAAUAAUGUUU
Mytilus californianus (California mussel) is the source of this 16327-nucleotide long non-coding RNA. RefSeq lists it as uncharacterized. Lineage: Eukaryota; Metazoa; Mollusca; Bivalvia; Mytilida; Mytilidae. The transcript is spliced from 17 exons. The record is from RefSeq and is a predicted model, not a curated record.